UGGGGUGUAGUUCAAUUGGCAGAGCAUCGGAUUCUGGCUCCGAAAGUUCCAGGUUCAAAUCCUGGCACCCCAG
RNAcentral lists this transfer RNA (73 nucleotides) under Chitinivibrionales bacterium. Its description in RNAcentral is "tRNA-Gln". It matches the Rfam family "tRNA". From Rfam's summary of the family: Transfer RNA (tRNA) molecules are approximately 80 nucleotides in length. Their secondary structure includes four short double-helical elements and three loops (D, anti-codon, and T loops). The record is from RNAcentral. Lineage: Bacteria; Pseudomonadati; Fibrobacterota; Chitinivibrionia; Chitinivibrionales.